This 36-nucleotide non-coding RNA is filed under the name Trypanosoma brucei brucei. The record is from RNAcentral. Lineage: Eukaryota; Euglenozoa; Kinetoplastea; Trypanosomatida; Trypanosomatidae.
ACAACAGAGAUAAGCACUCUAGAAGAUAUGAUAAAU